RNAcentral lists this small RNA (148 nucleotides) under Lactimicrobium massiliense. Its description in RNAcentral is "HNH endonuclease-associated RNA and ORF (HEARO) RNA". It matches the Rfam family "HNH endonuclease-associated RNA and ORF (HEARO) RNA", at positions 1 to 126 of the family's 211-position model. The record is from RNAcentral. Lineage: Bacteria; Bacillati; Bacillota; Erysipelotrichia; Erysipelotrichales; Erysipelotrichaceae.
GUCAACUACCCCGCCUAAGUCCUAGCGGACUAUAGACGGGGCUUGGAAAGACUACUACAGCUUUUCGAGCCUGGUUGAUUAGCCUAAGUGCUUCGAGCACUACGUUGCUGCUGUGCUACGUCUGGAUGCUCCACAAGUCCAGACCUCU